AAGAAUUUAAGUUAAAUAAACUAUUAACCUUCAAAGUUAAAAAUAAAGUAUAAACUUUAAGUCUUA
This 66-nucleotide transfer RNA is filed under the name Sipyloidea sipylus. RNAcentral describes it as "tRNA-Trp". The record is from RNAcentral. Lineage: Eukaryota; Metazoa; Arthropoda; Insecta; Phasmatodea; Lonchodidae.